RNAcentral lists this ribosomal RNA (723 nucleotides) under Vibrio sp. 12A03. Its description in RNAcentral is "bacterial SSU rRNA". It matches the Rfam family "Bacterial small subunit ribosomal RNA", at positions 33 to 735 of the family's 1533-position model. The record is from RNAcentral. Lineage: Bacteria; Pseudomonadati; Pseudomonadota; Gammaproteobacteria; Vibrionales; Vibrionaceae.
ACGCUGGCGGCAGGCCUAACACAUGCAAGUCGAGCGGAAACGACACUAACAAUCCUUCGGAUGCGUUAAUGGGCGUCGAGCGGCGGACGGGUGAGUAAUGCCUAGGAAAUUGCCUUGAUGUGGGGGAUAACCAUUGGAAACGAUGGCUAAUACCGCAUAAUGCCUACGGGCCAAAGAGGGGGAUCUUCGGACCUCUCGCGUCAAGAUAUGCCUAGGUGGGAUUAGCUAGUUGGUGAGGUAAUGGCUCACCAAGGCGACGAUCCCUAGCUGGUCUGAGAGGAUGAUCAGCCACACUGGAACUGAGACACGGUCCAGACUCCUACGGGAGGCAGCAGUGGGGAAUAUUGCACAAUGGGCGAAAGCCUGAUGCAGCCAUGCCGCGUGUAUGAAGAAGGCCUUCGGGUUGUAAAGUACUUUCAGUUGUGAGGAAGGGGGUAAMGUUAAUAGCKKYRYMUCUUGACGUUAGCAACAGAAGAAGCACCGGCUAACUCCGUGCCAGCAGCCGCGGUAAUACGGAGGGUGCGAGCGUUAAUCGGAAUUACUGGGCGUAAAGCGCAUGCAGGUGGUUCAUUAAGUCAGAUGUGAAAGCCCGGGGCUCAACCUCGGAACUGCAUUUGAAACUGGUGAACUAGAGUGCUGUAGAGGGGGGUAGAAUUUCAGGUGUAGCGGUGAAAUGCGUAGAGAUCUGAAGGAAUACCAGUGGCGAAGGCGGCCCCCUGGACA